Molecule: long non-coding RNA, 811 nt
Organism: Pan paniscus (pygmy chimpanzee)
Lineage: Eukaryota; Metazoa; Chordata; Mammalia; Primates; Hominidae
Source: Ensembl
UACUUUGCAGUUUAAUUUAAUGAACGCUAUUUACACUUCCAUUUCAGUUUCUAGUAACCAAACGAAUGCUUUAACAGCUUUACUGGUUUCAAAGGACCCAUGCCUCAUGCCUGUCUCAGCUUUAGUUUACAUGAAGGAAACUGAAAAUGCAGAUGUCACAUAGGCUUCGUGCUUCAGCAGCAGUAGCAGCAGCUCUCCAUACCACUCUGGGCACAAUUUCUUCAGAUAGUUUUUGGUCAGCUACCUUGAAAAAGCACCUCCAAGAUCAUUCUGCAGCCUGGCUAAGGAUGAAGAUAACUGAUAAACUAUUAUAUACCAAAAAACAACAAUAGUGUCCCCUGGGCAUCCAAAGCCUUAGUCUAGAGGAAAACAUAAUGAAAGUGGGAGUGAUUGACAAGGGAGAGAAAGGAAGACUCAGUUUCUUCAGAAUUUCACGUAAUCCAUGACAGUUUUCAAAGGUUUACUACGUGAACUAAAACAUGAUUGGGAGAGCUAUAACUUCGAAAUCUACUGUAGUCCCUGGGUUCCUAUUUGGAAGGUACUCCAUUUCUUUGGGAGAAAUUCACCACCCUGCCAACUGAUUCCUUUCCUAGAGCCUGGAUUCUAAACUGCUAAUGUCAAUAAACAAAACUUAGAACUUUACAAAUCAAAUCUCUCUGUAGCUUUUCAAAUUUUUAAAAUUUUAAUUUUAUUUGUAAUAUGUUUGAGAGUCUAUUCACUCCUUCCUGUAGUCUUCUAUCCUAUGUGACUGGAAUCCUGAAUUAAGUGCAAAAUCUGAUUCCAAUGAUAACUACUCGAAUCAUUUUGGCAA